AUACGUAGGGUGCGAGCGUUGUCCGGAAUUACUGGGCGUAAAGAGCUCGUAGGUGGUUUGUCGCGUCGUCUGUGAAAUUCCGGGGCUUAACUCCGGGCGUGCAGGCGAUACGGGCAUAACUUGAGUACUGUAGGGGAGACUGGAAUUCCUGGUGUAGCGGUGAAAUGCGCAGAUAUCAGGAGGAACACCGGUGGCGAAGGCGGGUCUCUGGGCAGUAACUGACGCUGAGGAGCGAAAGCAUGGGUAGCGAACAGGAUUAGAUACCCUGGUAGUCCAUGCCGUAAACGGUGGGCGCUAGGUGUAGGGGUCUUCCACGACUUCUGUGCCGUAGCUAACGCAUUAAGCGCCUCGCCUGGGGAGUACGGCCGCAAGGCUAAAACUCAAAGGAAUUGACGGGG
Molecule: ribosomal RNA, 398 nt
Filed under: uncultured bacterium
Lineage: Bacteria
Description: partial 16S ribosomal RNA
Rfam family: Bacterial small subunit ribosomal RNA
Source: RNAcentral